Canis lupus familiaris (dog) is the source of this 45-nucleotide non-coding RNA. NCBI's taxonomy places the organism in Eukaryota, Metazoa, Chordata, Mammalia, Carnivora, Canidae. The record is from Rfam.
UCAAAGGCUCUUUUCAGAGCCACCUAUAACUUCACAAAGAGAAAG